RNAcentral lists this ribosomal RNA (468 nucleotides) under uncultured bacterium. Its description in RNAcentral is "partial 16S ribosomal RNA". It matches the Rfam family "Bacterial small subunit ribosomal RNA", at positions 28 to 507 of the family's 1533-position model. The record is from RNAcentral.
GACGAACGCUGGCGGCGGGCUUAACACAUGCAAGUCGAACGGAAAGGCCCUGCUUGCGUGUGGUGCUCGAGUGGCGAACGUGUGUGUAACAUGUGAGUAAGCUUCGCUUUACGUGGUGAUAACUUCAGGAAACUGGGGCUAAUACCUGAUAGGAGCUGCUGCUGCAUGGGGGUGGUUGGAAAUCUUGGGCGGUUGUGGCUGGACUGGCGGCUUAUCAGCUUGUUGGGGGGGUAGUGGCUUACCCAGGCAUUGGUGGGUAGACGGACUGAGAGGGUGAGCGGCCACAUUGGCACUGAGAUGAGGCACAGACUGCUACGGGAGGCAGCAGUGGGGAAGAUUGCACAAUGGGCGGAGGGCGGAUGAAGAAAGGCCGCGUGCGGGAUAGCGGCCUUAGGGUUGUAAAACGGUUUCGACUGUAAAGAAGGGUGAGUGACGGUAACGAGUAAAGAAGCAACGGCUAACUACGUG